ACGGAGARACUAACAAGGAUUCCCUUAGUAACGGCGAGUGAAGCGGGAAGAGCUCAAAUUUGAAAUCUCACCUCUGGUGCGAAUUGUAGUUUAGAGAAACGUUUUCGGGCUUGACGGUAGGUACAAGUUCAUUGGAACAUGACAUCAUAGAGGGUGAAAAUCCCGUCUUUGACCUACUGUUCAAGUCUAUAUGAUACGUUUUCCAAGAGUCGGAUUGUUUGGGAAUGCAGUCCAAAAUGGGUGGUAAAUACCAUCUAAAGCUAAAUAUUGGCGAGAGACCGAUAGCGAACAAGUACCGUGAGGGAAAGAUGAAAAGAACUUUGAAAAGAGAGUUAAACAGUACGUGAAAUUGUCAAAAGGGAAACGUUUGAAACCAGUAUUGCAUGCAAGAAUUUAGCUGUGAUUUAUUGCAGUGUCCUUUUUUGUUUGCAAGUCAACAUCAGUUUGAUUUGGAGUAAAAAGCUAAAGGAAGGUGGCCUUCGGGUGUUAUAGCCUUUAGUUCUGCUCUGAAUUGGACUGAGGUCUGCAGCUUUUGCUUAGGAUGUUGACGAAAUGGUUUUAAGCGACCCGUCUUGAAACACGGACCAAGGAGUCUAACAUGUAUGCGAGUAUUUGGGUGGCAAACCCUUAUGCGUAAUGAAAGUGAAAAGGUGGGAUUCCUCUGGAUGCACCAUCGACCGCGCCAGAUUAUUGCUAUCUCGGCGUGAGUAUGAGCAUAUAUGCUGGGACCCGAAAGAUGGUGAACUAUACCUGAAUAGGGUGAAGCCAGAGGAAACUCUGGUGGAGGCUCGUAGCGGUUCUGACGUGCAAAUCGAUCGUCAAAUUUGGGUAUAGGGGCGAAAGACUAAUCGACCUC
This 856-nucleotide ribosomal RNA is filed under the name Rhizophydiales sp. ARG017. Its description in RNAcentral is "eukaryotic LSU rRNA". It matches the Rfam family "Eukaryotic large subunit ribosomal RNA", at positions 56 to 944 of the family's 3401-position model. Lineage: Eukaryota; Fungi; Chytridiomycota; Chytridiomycetes; Rhizophydiales. The record is from RNAcentral.